Molecule: ribosomal RNA, 230 nt
Filed under: uncultured bacterium
Lineage: Bacteria
Description: partial 16S ribosomal RNA
Rfam family: Bacterial small subunit ribosomal RNA
Source: RNAcentral
AAAGCGUGCGCAGGCGGUUAUAUAAGACAGAUGUGAAAUCCCCGGGCUCAACCUGGGAACUGCAUUUGUGACUGUAUAGCUGGAGUGCGGCAGAGGGGGAUGGAAUUCCGCGUGUAGCAGUGAAAUGCGUAGAUAUGCGGAGGAACACCGAUGGCGAAGGCAGCCCCCUGGGUCAAGAUUGACGCUCAUGCACGAAAGCGUGGGGAGCAAACAGGAUUAGAUACCCUGGU